RNAcentral lists this transfer RNA (85 nucleotides) under Caldicellulosiruptor bescii. RNAcentral's name for it is "tRNA-Leu". It matches the Rfam family "tRNA". Rfam says of the family: Transfer RNA (tRNA) molecules are approximately 80 nucleotides in length. Their secondary structure includes four short double-helical elements and three loops (D, anti-codon, and T loops). The record is from RNAcentral. Lineage: Bacteria; Bacillati; Bacillota; Caldicellulosiruptorales; Caldicellulosiruptoraceae.
GCCGAAGUGGUGGAACUGGCAGACGCGCCGGACUCAAAAUCCGGUGGCCGCUGAGGCCGUGCGGGUUCGACUCCCGCCUUCGGCA